Molecule: long non-coding RNA, 194 nt
Organism: Saccostrea echinata
Lineage: Eukaryota; Metazoa; Mollusca; Bivalvia; Ostreida; Ostreidae
Exons: 3
Source: RefSeq, a predicted model, not a curated record
UCAAGUUUGAUGAAAUGUCCUAAUAUGUAGAUGUAGAUGCUAAGUCAUUCAGUCACCUAGCUUGUGAGAAUGGAAUGCUCACAAAAAGGACAAGAGCUCAGAGCUGUAUGGAAAUUUACACAAAGGGUCAGUUAACGGAGUAAGCAGAUAUGGAGGAUAAUAUAUCAAAGGCAGCAUAGGCGUCCAAACUCCUG